AUGGGUGGCAAGAGGAAGAACGCGGUGGACGGCAAGACGCCGCUGUCGAAGGGCCGGCCGGGCCGCAAGUCGGUGGCGGCGCCCAGUCCAGCUGCUGUAGAUGCGCCGGCGCUGGCGGCGUCCGGCGCGAAGGUGCUAGCCGGCGGCGCUGUCGCGGUAGCGGGGCCGGAGGGGGAGGUGGUGAAGCUGCUGGACUCCGACGUGCCCAAGGCGGUCCUCCGCUGCGACGAGUGCCAUGGCCCUCUGAAGCCCCCCGUUUACCAGUGCUCACGUAUGCAUCACGUCGCGUGCGGCGACUGCGGCGGCGAGUGCCGUCCUUGCGCGGGCUUGGCCGCGUCCGCCGUCGUCUACGUCCAGAACGCCUACCUGGACACCCUGUUCGGCUACACGAAGGUGGCGUGCCCAUACAAGAAGCACGGCUGCGCGAGCUCGGUGGCCUACCGCGACGCCGCGGCGCACGCGGCUGCUUGCGCGUGCGCGCCCUGCUCGUGCCCGGAGUGCCUUUUCGAGGGCUCGCCGGCGGACCUCGUGCGCCACCUCACCGAGGAGUCCGGCCGGCACGCCUGGGGCGCCCGCAAGAUCACCUACGGCACGGACCACCGGUAUGUCUUUGACGAGCUGGAUUCGGAGGAGAUUUGCGAGGAGCUCUUGGUCGCGGAGGAGGACGACGGCGUGUUCCUCUUGCACAUUCACCGUGUCGAACUCUACCACCACGUCGCCCUUGCGUGUGUCAGGAAUAAAGCCGCCGCCGGGCCGGUGUACAGCUCCUCCGUCGCAGUGGAGGGCCCUCCGGCCAAGGGGCUCGUUGUGAAGCUGGAGACGAAGGUGGUGGCGAGCUGCCCGGUGCCCACUGAACUGGUGUACGACGACUAUGAGGCUCUCCCUGUGCUUCCGAGGAUGCUGCAUGAGCGAGACGAGAGCAGGGAGCUCCAUGUGCGCGUCUGCAUCAGCAAGACCCAGAGCAUCAGCGAGUGA
Molecule: ribosomal RNA, 975 nt
Filed under: Triticum aestivum (bread wheat)
Lineage: Eukaryota; Viridiplantae; Streptophyta; Magnoliopsida; Poales; Poaceae
Description: partial small subunit ribosomal RNA
Source: RNAcentral